This 525-nucleotide ribosomal RNA is filed under the name Lepetella sp. MCZ:Mala:378523. RNAcentral describes it as "partial 16S ribosomal RNA". It matches the Rfam family "Bacterial large subunit ribosomal RNA", at positions 1816 to 2600 of the family's 2925-position model. The record is from RNAcentral. Lineage: Eukaryota; Metazoa; Mollusca; Gastropoda; Lepetellida; Lepetellidae.
CGCUCUCUGUUUUAAAUUUAUAGAGAGUCUGACCUGCCCAGUGAUUUAUUUAACGGCCGCGGUACCCUGACCGUGCAAAGGUAGCAUAAUCAUUCGCUUUUUAAUUGAAGGCUUGUAUGAAUGGUUUGACGUGGGCUAUGCUGUCUCCUAAGAAUUUUAUAGAAGUUACUUUUUAGGUGAAAAAGCCUAAAUAAAACUAUGGGACGAGAAGACCCCUUUGAGCUUUAGUGACAUAGAAUAAUAAGUUUACUGAAGAAAUUCAGAUAAUAUUAUUAUACUAUUAUUUUUAGUGGGGGAAAACAGAGGAGGAAAAUUAGUCUCCUCUUGUAUAAGUAAGAAUUGAUAAAUUUAUUUAAUGAUCCGUAUAAGGCGAUUAAAAGAGAAAGUUACCACGGGGAUAACAGCGUAAUAUCUCCUGGAGAGUUCUUAUUGAAAGGAGGGUUUGCGACCUCGAUGUUGGACUAGGACAUCCUAAAGGUGCAGAAGUUUUUAAGGGUUGGUCUGUUCGACCAUUAAAGUCCUACA